AUGGAUGAUGUUUACGGUAGAAUAGAGGUCUUCCCGCAGCACUUCACGCCCAACAAAGACCCCAUGGACGCUGCCGAAGGUCUGUCCACAAGUAAGAGCAACAUGGAUCCUUCACCAAGUCCGCGUAGGCGUUCUUGGACCCCGAAACGAGUCAAGGGACCUGCGUCGCUUCUGCAACUCUUGUCUAUUCCUCGCAUUAGGUGGUCUUCCAGCAACGAGGAUGACGACAAGAUCGAGUUGACCAGAGCUGAAGUAGAAUCAUUACGAAGUGAAAUCGCCGAUGCCGAUGAUAGAGAGUCCCAGUUAAAAGCCCGGUUAGAGAAUAUCGACGAAGUCUUGAGAUAUGCGCGCCUUUCUGGGUACCUCCAUAUUAGAAGUAGAUGGACUCAACUUCCUGGGGAGCCGCCUAUCAUAGACGAUGCCGAUGUGGAUGACUGGCUUCCCCGCUUUGUUGUCCUACAAGGACAGUGUUUAUACUACUAUCUGAAGUCUACAGACCUGAGCCCGCAGGAAUCGACGCUGCUGCGCGACGUGGUGGAGGUAGGUCAGCUCCCCAACUUUGUGCCGGAGGACGGGAAAACGAGAUACGCCUUCUUCAUACUGACCCGGCAGGGCCUGAGGUUCGAGUGCUCGAGCAGCUGUGAGAUACAGGUGGAUUCGUGGGUAAGGGCCGUAAGAAGCGACUGCAAACUGGCAGAGGCAGGUGCCGAGGCGAAGAGCAAGACGAGCGGUGGAUGGUGA
RNAcentral lists this ribosomal RNA (741 nucleotides) under Triticum aestivum (bread wheat). Its description in RNAcentral is "partial small subunit ribosomal RNA". Lineage: Eukaryota; Viridiplantae; Streptophyta; Magnoliopsida; Poales; Poaceae. The record is from RNAcentral.